GGAAGUAAAAGUCGUAACAAGGUUUCCGUAGGUGAACCUGCGGAAGGAUCAUUAUCGUAUGAUGGGGGGUGCUGGGGUUGUCGCUGACUUUUGAAAGGGUCGUGCACGCCUCGGUGCUCUCACACAUAUAAUCCAUCUCACCCCUUUUGUGCAUCACCGCGUGGGGACCCCUUUUGGCUAGUUCUGAGGGGGGUUUUCACGUUUUUACAAAGACACCCUUUUUAAUGCAAUGUGUAGAAUGUCUUACUUUUUGCGAUCAUACGCAAUCAAUACAACUUUCAACAACGGAUCUCUUGGCUCUCGCAUCGAUGAAGAACGCAGCGAAAUGCGAUACGUAAUGUGAAUUGCAGAAUUCAGUGAAUCAUCGAAUCUUUGAACGCACCUUGCGCCCCUUGGCAUUCCGAGGGGCACACCCGUUUGAGCGUCGUGACAUCCUCAAACCUUCUUGGUUUCUUGACCAGGAAGGCUUUGGACCUUGGAGGUUUUUUUGCUGGCUUUCCUUUGUUGGAGCCAGCUCCUCUGAAAUGAAUUAGUGGGGUCUGCUUUGCCGAUCCUUGACGUGAUAAGAUAUUUUCUACGUCUUGGGUUUUGCACUCCUGCUUCUAACCGUCUCACAGAAGACAAACGGUCAAGUGAUCGCCACUUUGACCCAUGAACCUUGACCUCAAAUCGGGUGAGACUACCCGCUGAACUUAAGCAUAUNNNNNAGCGGAGGAAAAGAAACUAACAAGGAUUCCCCUAGUAACUGCGAGUGAAGCGGGAAAAGCUCAAAUUUAAAAUCUGGUGGUCUUUGGCCAUCCGAGUUGUAAUUUAGAGAAGCGUCUUCCGCGCUGGACCAUGCACAAGUCUCCUGGAAUGGAGCGUCAUAGAGGGUGAGAAUCCCGUCUUUGGCAUGGAUGCACCAGGGCUUCUGUGAUGCGCUCUCAAAGAGUCGAGUUGUUUGGGAAUGCAGCUCAAAAUGGGUGGUGAACUCCAUCUAAAGCUAAAUAUUGGCGAGAGACCGAUAGCGAACAAGUACCGUGAGGGAAAGAUGAAAAGCACUUUGGAAAGAGAGUGAAACAGUACGUGAAAUUGUUGAAAGGGAAACGCUUGAAGUCAGUCGCGUCGACCGAGACUCAGCCUUGCCUUGGCUUGGUGUACUUCUCGGCCCGACGGGUCAGCAUCAAUUUUGAUCCUUGGAUAAUGGCAAGGGAAAGGUGGCACCUUUACAGGUGUGUUAUAGUCCUCUGUCGGAUGCAAGGGUCGGGAUUGAGGAACUCAGCAUGCACCUCAUCGGUGUCGGGGCCUCGGCCUACGUUACGUGCUUAGGAUGCUGGCAUAAUGGCUUUAAACGACCCGUCUUGAAACACGGACCAAGGAGUCUAACAUGCACGCGAGUGUUCGGGUGGAAAACCCGUGCGCGUAAUGAAAGUAAAAGUUGGGACCUCUGUCGUGGAGGGCACCGACGCCCGGACCAGACCUUCUGUGACGGCUCUGCGGUAGAGCGUGUAUGUUGGGACCCGAAAGAUGGUGAACUAUGCCUGAAUAGGGUGAAGCCAGAGGAAACUCUGGUGGAGGCUCGUAGCGAUUCUGACGUGCAAAUCGAUCGUCAAAUUUGGGUAUAGGRGCGAAAGACUAAUCGAACCAUCUAGUAGCUGUCC
RNAcentral lists this ribosomal RNA (1640 nucleotides) under Russula illota. Its description in RNAcentral is "eukaryotic LSU rRNA". The stretch from base 660 to 1640 matches the Rfam family "Eukaryotic large subunit ribosomal RNA", at positions 1 to 957 of the family's 3401-position model. The record is from RNAcentral. Lineage: Eukaryota; Fungi; Basidiomycota; Agaricomycetes; Russulales; Russulaceae.